CAGCAGCCGCGGGAAAACGUAGGGUGCAAGCGUUAAUCGGAAUUACUGGGCGUAAAGCGUGCGCAGGCGGUUUUGUAAGACAGAGGUGAAAUCCCCGGGCUCAACCUGGGAACUGCCUUUGUGACUGCAAGGCUAGAGUACGGCAGAGGGGGAUGGAAUUCCGCGUGUAGCAGUGAAAUGCGUAGAUAUGCGGAGGAACACCGAUGGCGAAGGCAAUCCCCUGGGCCUGUACUGACGCUCAUGCACGAAAGCGUGGGGAGCAAACAGGAUUAGAUACCCCUGUAGUCCCUGUCUCUUAUAC
Molecule: ribosomal RNA, 301 nt
Filed under: uncultured bacterium
Lineage: Bacteria
Description: partial 16S ribosomal RNA
Rfam family: Bacterial small subunit ribosomal RNA
Source: RNAcentral